Molecule: ribosomal RNA, 509 nt
Filed under: uncultured bacterium
Lineage: Bacteria
Also listed under: 1 other name
Description: bacterial SSU rRNA
Rfam family: Bacterial small subunit ribosomal RNA
Source: RNAcentral
AACGCUGGCGGCGUGCCUAAUACAUGCAAGUCGAACGAAACUUUCUUACACCGAAUGCUUGCAUUCACCGUAAGAAGUUGAGUGGCGGACGGGUGAGUAACACGUGGGUAAACCUGCCUAAAAGAAGGGGAUAACACUUGGAAACAGGUGCUAAUACCGUAUAUCUCUAAGGAUCGCAUGAUCCUUAGAUGAAAGAUGGUUCUGCUAUCGCUUUUAGAUGGACCCGCGGCGUAUUAACUAGUUGGUGGGGUAACGGCCUACCAAGGUGAUGAUACGUAGCCGAACUGAGAGGUUGAUCGGCCACAUUGGGACUGAGACACGGCCCAAACUCCUACGGGAGGCAGCAGUAGGGAAUCUUCCACAAUGGACGCAAGUCUGAUGGAGCAACGCCGCGUGAGUGAAGAAGGUCUUCGGAUCGUAAAACUCUGUUGUUGGUGAAGAAGGAUAGAGGUAGUAACUGGCCUUUAUUUGACGGUAAUCAACCAGAAAGUCACGGCUAACUACGUGCC